This 484-nucleotide ribosomal RNA is filed under the name uncultured bacterium. RNAcentral's name for it is "partial 16S ribosomal RNA". It matches the Rfam family "Bacterial small subunit ribosomal RNA", at positions 30 to 507 of the family's 1533-position model. The record is from RNAcentral.
AUUGAACGCUGGCGGCAGGCCUAACACAUGCAAGUCGAGCGGAUGAAGGGAGCUUGCUCCUGGAUUCAGCGGCGGACGGGUGAGUAAUGCCUAGGAAUCUGCCUGGUAGUGGGGGAUAACGUCCGGAAACGGGCGCUAAUACCGCAUACGUCCUGAGGGAGAAAGUGGGGGAUCUUCGGACCUCACGCUAUCAGAUGAGCCUAGGUCGGAUUAGCUAGUUGGUUGGGUAAAGGCCUACCAAGCCGACGAUCCGUAACUGGUCUGAGAGGAUGAUCAGUCACACGGGAGCUGAGACACGGUCCAGACUCCUACGGGAGGCAGCAGUGGGGAAUAUUGGACAAUGGGCGAAAGCCUGAUCCAGCCAUGCCGAGUGUGUGAAGAAGGUCUUCGGAUUGUAAAGCACUUUAAGUUGGGAGGAAGGGCAGUAAGUUAAUACCUUGCUGUUUUGACGUUACCAACAGAAUAAGCACCGGCUAACUUCGUG